This 465-nucleotide ribosomal RNA is filed under the name uncultured bacterium. Its description in RNAcentral is "partial 16S ribosomal RNA". It matches the Rfam family "Bacterial small subunit ribosomal RNA", at positions 338 to 795 of the family's 1533-position model. The record is from RNAcentral.
CCUACGGGAGGCAGCAGUAAGGAAUCUUCCACAAUGGGCGAAAGCCUGAUGGAGCAACGCCGCGUGGGUGAAGAAGUUCUUCGGAUCGUAAAACCCUGUUGUUAGAGAAGAAAGUGCGUGAGAGUAACUGUUCACGUUUCGACGGUAUCUAACCAGAAAGCCACGGCGAACUACGUGCCAGCAGCCGCGGUAAUACGUAGGUGGCAAGCGUUAUCCGGCUUUAUUGGGCGUAAAGGGAACGCAGGCGGUCUUUUAAGUCUGAUGUGAAAGCCUUCGGCUUAACCGGAGUAGUGCAUUGGAAACUGGGAGACGUGAGUGCAGAAGAGGAGAGUGGAACGCCAUGUGUAGCGGUGAAAUGCGUAGAUAUAUGGAAGAACACCAGUGGCGAAAGCGGCUCUCUGGUCUGUAACGGACGCUGAGGUUCGAAAGCGUGGGUAGCAAACAGGAUUAGAUACCCCUGUAGUC